AACGUAGGAGGCAAGCGUUAUCCGGAGUAACUGGGCGUAAAGGGCGGGUAGGCGGUUGUGUAAGUUGGUUCUGAAAGCUCCUGGCUAAACUGGGAGAGGUUGACCAAGACUGCAGAACUUGAGUGGAGAAGAGGUAAACGGAAUUCCGCGUGUAGUGGUGAAAUGCGUAGAGAUGCGGAAGAACACCAGUGGCGAAGGCGGUUUACUGGUCUCCAACUGACACUGAGCCGCGAAAGCAUGGGUAGCGAACGGG
This 253-nucleotide ribosomal RNA is filed under the name uncultured bacterium. RNAcentral describes it as "partial 16S ribosomal RNA". It matches the Rfam family "Bacterial small subunit ribosomal RNA", at positions 524 to 776 of the family's 1533-position model. The record is from RNAcentral.